RNAcentral lists this long non-coding RNA (289 nucleotides) under Nicotiana benthamiana. RNAcentral's name for it is "long non-coding RNA (NBEN_LNC038667)". Lineage: Eukaryota; Viridiplantae; Streptophyta; Magnoliopsida; Solanales; Solanaceae. The record is from RNAcentral.
GCUUAGUGGAUUUCAAAUUAACAAGUACAUCAUUCAAAUUUUUGUGCGAAGAAUUGAAUUUGUGUAAAGUGCUCUUAAGACUAUCUACUUCUUCUUUUAAAGAUUUGCAAGAAGAACAACCUUUGUUUGAGCCUUCGGGUUUAUCCAUGCUUCUUUUUCCAUAAAAACGGUUUUCCUCUUUUAAUUUUUCAUUAUCAAAAUUUAAUUUUUCAAUUUCCUUUUCUUUUAAAGAAAUUUGUUUUCUUAAAUCAUUUAAUGUUUUUGAAGCAUUAAUAAACUCAUCAUAAAG